Molecule: RNA transcript, 791 nt
Organism: Amborella trichopoda
Lineage: Eukaryota; Viridiplantae; Streptophyta; Magnoliopsida; Amborellales; Amborellaceae
Gene name: NADH dehydrogenase ubiquinone 1 beta subcomplex subunit 10-B-like protein (Complex I subunit NDUFS6)
Source: RefSeq, a predicted model, not a curated record
AAGGUUCGUUUUCCCAUUGAAGUACAUCGCCACGACACAUUCGGGGCGGGACGCCUCCUCAGGGUAGUAGAAACACAGACACUGACUGGCCAAGUGGGAGAAACAAGACGCAGAAGGGGGUAGAGAGAGAUAAAUCGAGCAACAAGGAGAUAGCAAGAGAGAGAGGAGAGAGAGAGCGAGGGGGGAGGGAGGGAGAGAUGGUUCGGAAGGCGACUGUUGAGUUCGAUGAGGGACCUCCUGAUGACUUCGACCCCAACAACCCCUAUGCCGACCCUGUGGCCAUGUUAGAGUACAGGGAGCACCUUGUGAGAGAGAAAUGGAUCCAAAUUGAGACGGCUAAGAUCUUGAGAGAGAAACUCAAGUGGUGCUAUCGCGUAGAGGGGGUGAACCACCUUCAGAAGUGCAGGCACCUCGUCCAACAAUACCUCGAUGCCACACGUGGGGUUGGCUGGAACAAAGAGAAUAGACCUCCUGGUCUUCAUGGUCCCAAGGUCACAGAUGAGGAAUGACUGACAUCUAUCAAGACGUAUGUUUAUGGAUCUUGCGAGUAUUUCACUAAUGGACCUCAGUUGGAAGUUGCAAAAUGGGGUUUAAGAAGUUUCAUUGGAGUGUGUUGACUGAAAAUCUACAUUACUUCCAUUUUUAAUAUUAUAGUCUGGACUGUUUUCGUUUUCUUUUGGAUUGCAAAAUUGGUUCGUGUUUUCGGUUUCUGUGAAAUUGAAUCAGCAUAAUAAAGUUGCAUUCUUGUGGUGGUGAAUAUGAACUUCAGCAGACUCCAUGACUUAGUCAUA